RNAcentral lists this ribosomal RNA (253 nucleotides) under uncultured bacterium. RNAcentral's name for it is "partial 16S ribosomal RNA". It matches the Rfam family "Bacterial small subunit ribosomal RNA", at positions 524 to 776 of the family's 1533-position model. The record is from RNAcentral.
UACGUAGGGUGCGAGCGUUAAUCGGAAUUACUGGGCGUAAAGCGUGCGCAGGCGGUUUUGUAAGACCGAUGUGAAAUCCCCGGGCUUAACCUGGGAACUGCAUUGGUGACUGCAGGGCUAGAGUGUGUCAGAGGGAGGUGGAAUUCCGCGUGUAGCAGUGAAAUGCGUAGAGAUGCGGAGGAACACCGAUGGCGAAGGCAGCCUCCUGGGAUAACACUGACGCUCAGGCACGAAAGCGUGGGGAGCAAACAGG